GCAGCCUUCGUGUGCAUAGUUUCCAUCUGUGUCUGGUAGCAUUGUCUGUUUGUGUUUUGCAUUCAGAUGCUGCUGCCCACACAUAAUCCUGCAGCCAGAAAGAAAAAUGGGAUCAUAGUACUGGCCUAGUGACGUCUUUUUGGACAAACCUACCACUGGUCAGCCUCCGAACUCCCAGACAUAU
Small nucleolar RNA from Gracilinanus agilis (Agile Gracile Mouse Opossum), 184 nucleotides. RefSeq annotates it as small nucleolar RNA SNORA23. NCBI's taxonomy places the organism in Eukaryota, Metazoa, Chordata, Mammalia, Didelphimorphia, Didelphidae. The record is from RefSeq and is a predicted model, not a curated record. The transcript has a single exon.